GCAGACACAUUCCAGGCAAUCAGCAGCAGACCCUCCCUCCCAGACCCUCCCACCUCCUGGACAGCAUCCAUUUUGAAGCUGCAUUCUUAGUGAGCUGUCCAGGAGGUGGGAGGGUCUGGGAGGGAGGGUCUGCUGCUGAUUGGCUGGAAUGUGUCUG
Molecule: non-coding RNA, 157 nt
Organism: Pelobates cultripes (western spadefoot toad)
Lineage: Eukaryota; Metazoa; Chordata; Amphibia; Anura; Pelobatidae
Source: the annotation of a GenBank genome assembly